This 546-nucleotide ribosomal RNA is filed under the name uncultured eukaryote. Its description in RNAcentral is "bacterial SSU rRNA". It matches the Rfam family "Eukaryotic small subunit ribosomal RNA", at positions 450 to 889 of the family's 1831-position model. The record is from RNAcentral.
CCUAAUACAAGGGAGGUAGUGACAAUAAAUAACAAUGCUGGGAUUUAUAGUCUUAGCAAUUGGAAUGAGAACAAUUAACCCUUAACGAGUAACAAUUAGAGGGCAAGUCUGGUGCCAGCAGCCGCGGUAAUUCCAGCUCUAAUAGCGUAUAUUAAAGUUGUUGCAGUUAAAAAGCUCGUAGUUGGAUUUUAGUAAGAUUAUUAGAAUAGGUCGGGUUAGAAAUAACUCUUGUACUUGUUUCAUCUUACUUGAUUUACUGGUUACUCGACUCUGUUCUUUAUUGAAUGGAGUAGUAUCGCAAGGUAUCAUUAAGAGUUAAAUUGCUUAUAAGAGUAGAAUCAGGGUAAAACUUGGUUUAAUGCUUAUGAGAGCACAGUUUGAUUUUUAAUGGGGUUCCAGUUCAUUUACUUUGAGUAAAUUAGAGUGUUCAAAGCAGCCUCUUGGGGCAUUGAAUAUUAUUAGCAUGGGAUAAUAGAAUAGGAUUUCUCUUAUAUUUUAUUGGUAUAAUAUUAGUUGAAAUAAUGAUUAAUAGGGAUAGUUGGGGGC